CAGUCCGCUUUUGCAGAGGGCAGGCGGAAGGGGAAACGUGCUGCUAGGAGGGGGCGGCUAGGAGGGGGCCCCCCCGCCCCAGCCACCUGCCACUACACGGAUCCAGCUGAUGCCGCAUGGGGCGGGGCAGCGAGAGCUUCUUUGUGAUGCUGUUAGGACGCCUUCUAGGAUUAAAUGGAUUGGGGAACAAGGGUCGACAUCAUGCUAUGUCCUGCGGUUCCGGGCGCCGCCCGCAUCUGCCGAGUCUCUCAGCCUCUUGGGGGCUGACGGCGCUAGCUGCCUCAGUGUUUCCCAGGUUUUUCUAGCCCUGGCUUUGUUAUGAAACGGCGUUCCGCGGUCUUUGGUUUUUCUCCGCGCAGUUUUGCACUGGCACUUCUGACGUCACGCGCCACUUGACUGCUGGCUCCCGCCUGCGCACCAAAGCUGUAAGUGGACGUGGCAGACGCGUCUAUGGUGACGAGGGGCAUGUAGCAAAGUGAUGGCUCUUGCCACUGGAGCGCGGGUGGUCCCGGGCACUCCGAGGAUGCACCCGGCGGCAGCAGCGGUGGUUCGUGAGGUCGCGGCAAGGGCGAACUGGCUUGAAAUGCAAACGCUACCGAGCCGGCAGAGACGGGGCAGCUCCUGCAAAUAAGGGCUGCUGCUCCCCCUUUGUUUUUUCAUCCGUCUGUGGACACGGCGGGAUGCGGCGUUCCGCGGCCCCGGGCACCGGCGGCUCUUCGUAUGGCAUGGGCGACGCCAGGAGAGCUCCGGCAGCAGGGUCGUCAGCUUCUCUUCCAGUUUCUGAUGCUGUGAUGCUUCCGGGAUUUGGUGGGUGCACCAGAGGGAGUCCCAGGCUCCACGACAGAGGCGAUUUCAGCAGCUACCUCCACAUGUUCGGCUACCACCCGCGUUCUGUCAUUUUAUGAUGUUUUGGCGGGGUUUGCCUACGGUGCAUGCACUCUGCCACCUUGAGCGGGCAGCUCCUGCACACUUCGCGACCGCCAUGUUGGGUGAGUGACUCUCGUACUAUGUCCUGUCCCCCAUGUUGGAGUUUUUCGGCGGGCUGUCCCCGUGGCAUUUCCACUGCUGUCCCUGCAUCUCGCUUGGCUUUCAACCACCCCAACCAGAACCUCCCGAUUUCUGCCGGUUUUAUCUACCAAGACCAGACGGUUAUCUAUGAAGCUGACUCCCAGAGACUUUCACACGGAUGUUUAUUUCGGCCACCACUGCUUGCCUGACAAAAUAAUGAUAGCAAAAAAACCCAAAAAUUAUUAAUUACCACAAGAGACCACGCUGUAAGAAGAAGCUGCAAACCAAGAUUCCACAGAGCGUGGAGUGGGCAGUAACCCCUCAUGCCUCCCCAGCGCUGCUUUGCUUUGUCUAUAUAAAAUAAAGCAAUAUAAAUUUUGAUGAA
This is a long non-coding RNA of Catharus ustulatus (Swainson's thrush), 1393 nucleotides long. RefSeq lists it as uncharacterized. The record is from RefSeq and is a predicted model, not a curated record. The transcript has 2 exons. NCBI's taxonomy places the organism in Eukaryota, Metazoa, Chordata, Aves, Passeriformes, Turdidae.